RNAcentral lists this long non-coding RNA (2524 nucleotides) under Homo sapiens (human). Its description in RNAcentral is "HSALNT0397303". The record is from RNAcentral. Lineage: Eukaryota; Metazoa; Chordata; Mammalia; Primates; Hominidae.
AAAUCCUGGAGCAGCUGUGAGCAGGGCAUUUGCUCCUUCUCUGGGCUGUGGAGAUACCUAAGCACACACACAAUCUUGGUGGCAGCAGAGGUGCUAUUGAGUAAAUAGAAAUGGCCAUGGAACUCUUAUUACAGCAUUCAUAGGGGUUAAAGAAGCUAAUAUGUUUGUCAAACAGGAGGGCUGAGUGGACGUGUCCUAUGGCCUCCCUUGGAAAUGGCUCUUUCUGCUUCAGAUAGUGGAAGGCUUCCAGACACACAGUCCCCACCCAUUCCUUCUCCUGGGGAAGUAGCCUUAACUUACACAGACAGCCCGAAAGAGUCUGGGGACUUGUAGCUCAGAACGAAGGAAAAUGACAUCCUCCAGCCUGGCUUAGGAACAUUGCUGUUCCCAACCCCGUACAGGAGACGCCUUUCUUCUUAUCUUCUUCUGGGGGAUUUUAGAGCCACUCAUCAUGAGUCACAGUGAAGAGCGUCCUGCCUUCCUUCACAGGACAGAAGGAGAGUUGGCAGCCCCAGGCUCACUCUAUCCCAUGGCCGUCCCUCCUGAGGCUUCACUUCUGCAAGGUAGGAGCCUGGAGAUGCUGCCCUAGCCAGGUAAAAGGAAGACAGAGACACUCAUCUACAUGUUAUCAUAGUCCCUUCCCCGAGGCUGGGAAAGGAGGAUUUUAUUCUCCAGGCAACGUCCACUGGCAACGCUGCCCAGGCAGCUGGUCCCUAGCCCCACUGGAGGCAUUCCAACCACUUAACACAGUUUUUCAAUUUCCACUGUUUUUGCACAUACAUUUCCAUCCCUGGGAUGGAUUGCCACGGGGCUUUCCUCUCCAAAAUUCUGAUGGAUGGCAUUUUUACCCUGCAAUGAUCCCUAAGUUAAAGUGAUAUUCACCAAUAUUUAUUACGUGGUAAUGGCAUGGAGCACCAGAUCAAAAAUUCAUGGCAAGCACACACUGCAACACUCUCCCUGAAUGCUCUCAGAGCAGAUAUAUGAUUCUAUGGAUAUGCACAUCUGUAUGUAAGUAGUGUACGCAUGCGUGUGCACUCAUAUACACACACACACAGCCUGGGCCACAUCUUGUCUUUCAACUCCGGUGGCACUACAGUAACAAACCGGUCUAGAAGCAGGCCUGAGAGACAGGAUUUCUCAACCAAGAGAUGGGCAGAUGUGAGUUUAAAGGAAGAGCCAGUAGCAGGAGGUUCAGUUUCUCCCACUCUACCACCAGCUGGGAGUUAAUUCAUCAGUUCUGGGACUCAUUCAAACAGCAUGGCAUGACACUGGUGGAAAGCAAACACAUCCUCUGAAUGCCUGCUGUAUUCUGCAGAGGAGAGCAGGGAGCUGAGCCUGGUAUCCGGAGCUCAAGGCCUGAUAGCCCGGACUCACAUGAAGGCCAGAGGAUGAGCUCCCAGAACUCCACGAGUCUUGGCCUAAUGUCUUUUAGCCAAGAGCAUUUGGUGAAACAAAAAAGACCCUUUGAGGCCAAGCGUGGUGGCUCAUGUCUGUAAUCCCAGCACUUUGGGGGGGCCAAGGCAGGGGAUCGCUCGAGGCAGGGAGUUCAAAACCAGCCUGGGAAACAUGGCAAGAUCCUGUCUCUACCAAUAAUUUAAAAAUUAGCCUGGUGUGGUGGCAUGUGCCUGUGGUUCCAGCUACUCAGGCAACUGGGAUGGGAAGAUAAGAUCACUUAAGCCCAAGCAUUCAAGCCUGCAAUGAGCUAUGAUUUUGCCACUGCACUCCAGCCUGGGCGAUAAAGAAAGGCCCUGUCUCUAAAUAAGAAUAAUAAGACCCUUCACAAGCCUCAACAAAGAUAGAUCCAAGAUCCUGGCUCCUCACUCCACAGGUAGCCAGAGAAGACCCUGCCAUCUCCUGAGCCUACCCUAACCUCUCCCACUAGGUUUGAUCCUCUCUCCUUUGUGUCCUGACCCACAUGACUGCCUGCACCCAUCCCCACCUUGGUAACAUUCCCCAGGAAAUCAUUUUAGUGCCUCUUUCCUGCCCUUAUGCCUCUAAUCUAUUUUGAUUUUCUGUUACUGUGCCUAGGAAUGCCAAUGCAUUGUUGAACAGAAGGGGCUAGGCAUCAGGGACAGCAUCCCACCUCUCUGGCCAUCUUUUAGCCAUUAAAAUUUGCCAUCACCUAUUGUUGACCUGCCGCCGAGCUCCAUGGAAAGAACACAAGAUACGUAUUGCAAUGGUGUGAAAACAUUUGGCUCCAAUUUUUUCUAUAUAUAUAUAAAUUUUUUUCUCCCUUUUCUUCCUCCUUUUGACCCACAGAAAAGAGAACCCUAAGUCCCCACACUCUGUCACUUCAUAAAUCUCUCUCUAAUUGCACCCUUGGGGUCUCUCUUGGCCAGUCUUUCAGAAGAAGGGCUACCUGGCCUUCCAAGGAUUGGUUUAUCACCUUAGUUGCUUUUUGCCAGGUUUUCUCCAUCACAAGAGUCUUUUCUUUAAUGACCUGAGCUAUUUACAAUAAGGAAAUAACGUGGUCAUAAUCAGAGCUGGGGUGAUUUUGCUUUAUACAAGCCUCUCUCUCUCUCUC